RNAcentral lists this ribosomal RNA (501 nucleotides) under uncultured bacterium. Its description in RNAcentral is "partial 16S ribosomal RNA". It matches the Rfam family "Bacterial small subunit ribosomal RNA", at positions 30 to 523 of the family's 1533-position model. The record is from RNAcentral.
AUUGAACGCUGGCGGCAGGCUUAACACAUGCAAGUCGAGCGGGGUGAUGGUGCUUGCACUAUCACUUAGCGGCGGACGGGUGAGUAAUGCUUAGGAAUCUGCCUAUUAGUGGGGGACAACAUCUCGAAAGGGAUGCUAAUACCGCAUACGUCCUACGGGAGAAAGCAGGGGAUCACUUGUGACCUUGCGCUAAUAGAUGAGCCUAAGUCGGAUUAGCUAGUUGGUGGGGUAAAGGCCUACCAAGGCGACGAGCUGUAGCGGGUCUGAGAGGAUGAUCCGCCACACUGGGACUGAGACACGGCCCAGACUCCUACGGGAGGCAGCAGUGGGGAAUAUUGGACAAUGGGGGGAACCCUGAUCCAGCCAAGCCGCGUGUGAAGAAGGCCUUAUGGUUGUAAAGCACUUUAAGCGAGGAGGAGGCUCUUUUGGUUAAUACCCAAGAUGAGUGGACGUUACUCGCAGAAUAAGCACCGGCUAACUCUGUGCCAGCCGCCGCAGUAA